RNAcentral lists this long non-coding RNA (1910 nucleotides) under Mus musculus (house mouse). RNAcentral describes it as "RIKEN cDNA A230072C01 gene". Lineage: Eukaryota; Metazoa; Chordata; Mammalia; Rodentia; Muridae. The record is from RNAcentral.
GCAAGUCUCGCUGCAGUACGUCACUGAUAAAGGUCUCGUACCGCAGCACUUUCUCCCCCACCGUAUCCAAGGCCCGCCGUUUCGGGGGCGUCGCCAUGACGGGCACCUGGGGGAGUAAAGGGGGGGGCACGUUGAGCGCUCUAUUUAAACUUCACAAAAUUCUCUCCAGCCACUCAACGUUGGGGAUGACUUCUUUCGGCUCGAGCUACGGAGUUGCUUCUGCCCAACCCGAUUUUGGAACUCGUUCACUCACCGGUACAGGAGUACGGCGUUUACCGUAGGGCCACCGGCAAUAACUGCCAGAAGAAGUUGUGGGAUUCCCUGGAACUGGAGCAACCAACAGUUUGUGUGCACCAUGUGGGUAAUGGGAAUCGAACCUGGGUCCUCUAUAAGACUGGCCAGUGCUCUUAACUACUGAGGUGCAUUUCUUUCGGAAUUGAUUCACAUAACUAUUAUGCUAUACUGUUUGAAGUAUUUAUUAGAAAAACAUCAGAAAGAGAUUUGGACCACUUUCAUUUACAUGAAGAAAUAUCUUAGGGUUUCUUUUCAGGUAUCUUUGAGUAUCUUCUGACACUAGAAGAUCCUGUAAACUCUACAGACUUCAACAGAAUUGAAGAACCUGGACAGAGCAGAGUUACCAACAAGAGAGCCCAGGGAUAGCAUUAACAUGGUGGUUACUCAAGACCUAACUCAGCCAGGGAGACAUACCAAGGCCUAUGAGGUGAAGGGAAAAGAAGGGUGACCCAAAGGGCAGGAAUUUUUUAUCCUGAACUUUUGAGCCUUAUAGAAAAACAUAAUUUGUUGGGCAUGUUUUCUGACCCUCAUACAGUUUUUACAACCAUUUGAAGAUAUAGUUCUAGCUCUAGUAGGCUCUACAGGAAGGUAUAUCAAACUUUUUAACAGAACACUUUAUUAUUUUAAAUAUAUGAGUAUUUCACCUGCAUAGGCGCACAGUACCCACAGAGACUAGAAGAGGGUGGCAGAUCUCCUGAGACUGGAGUUAAUGCUUGUGAGCUGCCAUGUGGAUGCUGGAAAUCAAACCCAGGUCCUUUGGAAGGCAGGCAGGUGCUCUUAAUCAUGGAAGCAUCUCUUCAGCUCCUACCCUAGUUCUUUAAUUUUGUUUUAAAUUUUUGAGGUAGGGUUUUGCUAAGUUACUUGGGCUGGCCUUGGACUAGUAACCAUUCUGUGUCAGCCUUCUGGGAUUAGAGGUAUGUGCUAGCAUGUCUAGCAUCUUUCUAUUUCUUUGGUUUUCCUUCUAAUUAAUUAAAAAAUACAUUAUCUUCUAAAUCUUUUAUUGUACAUCAUGAAUGCUAUUUCAGUUUUUGUUUAAAUAAGCUUAAAUGUAAACAUCACUAUAAGUACACCACUAUUUCUAUUGUGCAGUUUCAGUGAUACAAUAUCUUAUCACUUACAGAGUAUUAGUAAUAGUUUAAUUUAAAAAAAAUCAUUUAUUGUUGUUUUUUGUCUCACCCCCCUCCCCUCCCCCAAUCUCUGGAGCUGAGGACCAAACCCAGGGCCUUGUGCUUGCUAAGCAAAUGCUCUACCGCUGAGCUAAAUCUCCAACCCCUAGUUUAAUUUUGUUUUAGAAAGACUCUUACUUAAUGUACUUGCUGUGUGUGAUGGUUUGUAUAUUCUUGGACCAGGGAGUGGCAACAUUUGGAGGUGUGGCCUUGUUGGAAUAGGUGUGACCUGGUUGGAGUAGGUGUGUCACUGUGGGUGUGGGUAUGAGACCCUCACCCUAGUUGCCUGGAAGUCAGUCUUCCACUAGCAGCCUUUGGAUGAAGACAUAGAACUCUCAGCUCUUCCUGUGCCAUGCCUGCCUGGAUACUGCCAUGCUCCCACCGUGAUGGUAAUGGACUGAACCUCUGAACCUGUAAGCCAGCCCCAAUUAAAUGUUGUUUUUUAUAAGA